AGGAUAAACGCUGGCGGCGUGCCUAACACAUGCAAGUCGAACGCGCUUUCGGGCUUCGGUGCGAGAGCGAGUGGCGGACGGGUGAGGAACACAUGGGUAUCUACCUCCGGGUGGGGGAUACCGGCGAGAAAUCGCCGACAAUCCCGCAUAGCUUCGGGAACGAAGAAAGCAGCAAUGCGCCUGGGGAUGAGCCUGUGGCCGAUUAGCUAGCUGGUGGGGUAAUGGCUCACCAGGGCGACGAUCGGUAGCUGGUCUGAGAGGAUGAUCAGCCACACUGGGAUUGAGAACGGCCCAGACUCCUACGGGGGCAGCAGUGAGGAAUCUUCCGCAAUGGGGGCAACCCUGACGGAGCAACGCCGCGUGCAGGAGGACGCUUUUCGGAGUGUAAACUGCUUUUCUCGAGGAAGAAAGCGGACGGUACUCGAGGAAGAAGCCCCGGCUAACUACGUGCCAGCAGCCGC
RNAcentral lists this ribosomal RNA (461 nucleotides) under uncultured bacterium. RNAcentral's name for it is "SSU rRNA". It matches the Rfam family "Bacterial small subunit ribosomal RNA", at positions 26 to 518 of the family's 1533-position model. The record is from RNAcentral.